RNAcentral lists this ribosomal RNA (862 nucleotides) under uncultured bacterium. RNAcentral describes it as "SSU rRNA". It matches the Rfam family "Bacterial small subunit ribosomal RNA", at positions 524 to 1381 of the family's 1533-position model. The record is from RNAcentral.
UACGGAGGGUGCAAGCGUUGUUCGGAAUCAUUGGUCGUAAAGCGCGUGUAGGCGGAUUGUUAUGUCGGAUGUGAAAGCCCUCGGCUUAACCGAGGAAUUGCUUCCGAAACUGCCAUUCUUGAGUACGGGAGAGGGAAGCGGAAUUUCCAGUGUAGAGGUGAAAUUCGUAGAUAUUGGAAGGAACACCGGUGGCGAAGGCGGCUUCCUGGACCGAUACUGACGCUGAUACGCGAAAGCGUGGGGAGCAAACAGGAUUAGAUACCCUGGUAGUCCACGCCGUAAACGAUGACCACUAGGUGUUGCGGGAGUUGACCCCUGCAGUGCCGCAGCUAACGCGUUAAGUGCUCCGACUGGGGAUUACGGUCGCAAGACUAAAACUCAAAGGAAUUGACGGGGGGCCGCACAAGCGGUGGAGCAUGUGGUUCAAUUCGAUGCAACGCGCAGAACCUUACCCGGCCUUGACAUCCUGAGAAUUCCCGAGGAAACCGGGAAGUGCCUCUUUUGAGGAACUCAGAGACAGGUCAGGCAUGGCAGUCGUCAGCUCGUGUCGUGAGAUGAUGGGUUAAGUUACGCAACGAGCGCAACCCUCGCCCUUAGUUUCCAUCAUUAACAAGGGCACUCUAGGGGGACUGCCGGUGUGAAACCGGAGGAAGGCGGGGAUGACGUCAAGUCCUCAUGGCCUUUAUGUCCGGGGCUACACACGUCAUACAAUGGGUGGUACAAAGGGCUGCCAACCCGCGAGGGGGAGCAAAUCUCAAAAAACCACUCUCAGUUCGGAUUGGAGUCUGCAACUCGAGUCCAUGAAGGCGGAAUCGCUAGUAAUCGCACAUCAGCACGGUACGGUGAAUACGUUCCCGGGCCU